AUACUUAACCUGGCUGGGGAGAUACCAUGAUCAUGAAGGUUGUUUUCCCAGGGAGAGGCUUAGCGCACUCUGGAUGCACUGACCGCUGUGAUUUCCCCAAACGUGGGAAAUUCAACUGCAUAAUUUGUAGUAGCAGGGGACUGUGUUCACACUUUCUCAUU
Molecule: small nuclear RNA, 161 nt
Organism: Panthera leo (lion)
Lineage: Eukaryota; Metazoa; Chordata; Mammalia; Carnivora; Felidae
Gene: U1
Rfam family: U1 spliceosomal RNA
About the family: U1 is a small nuclear RNA (snRNA) component of the spliceosome (involved in pre-mRNA splicing). Its 5' end forms complementary base pairs with the 5' splice junction, thus defining the 5' donor site of an intron. There are significant differences in sequence and secondary structure between metazoan and yeast U1 snRNAs, the latter being much longer (568 nucleotides as compared to 164 nucleotides in human).
Source: Ensembl